RNAcentral lists this ribosomal RNA (450 nucleotides) under uncultured bacterium. RNAcentral's name for it is "partial 16S ribosomal RNA". It matches the Rfam family "Bacterial small subunit ribosomal RNA", at positions 354 to 796 of the family's 1533-position model. The record is from RNAcentral.
GUGGGGAAUCUUCCGCAAUGGACGAAAGUCUGACGGAGCAACGCCGCGUGAGUGAUGAAGGUCUUCGGAUUGUAAAGCUCUGUUAAUCGGGACGAAAGAGCCUAGUGUGAAUAAUGCUAGGAAGUGACGGUACCGGAAUAGAAAGCCACGGCUAACUACGUGCCAGCAGCCGCGGUAAUACGUAGGUGGCAAGCGUUGUCCGGAAUUAUUGGGCGUAAAGCGCGCGCAGGCGGAUCUGUCAGUCUAUCUUAAAAGUUCGGGGCUUAACCCCGUGAUGGGAUGGAAACUACAGAUCUAGAGUAUCGGAGAGGAAAGUGGAAUUCCUAGUGUAGCGGUGAAAUGCGUAGAUAUUAGGAAGAACACCAGUGGCGAAGGCGACUUUCUGGACGAAAACUGACGCUGAGGCGCGAAAGCCAGGGGAGCGAACGGGAUUAGAUACCCCAGUAGUCC